Molecule: non-coding RNA, 30 nt
Filed under: Rattus norvegicus (Norway rat)
Lineage: Eukaryota; Metazoa; Chordata; Mammalia; Rodentia; Muridae
Source: RNAcentral
UCGAAAUCAAAGUUCGAACCCAAUGGCUGU